This 335-nucleotide ribosomal RNA is filed under the name uncultured Bulleidia sp. RNAcentral describes it as "partial 16S ribosomal RNA". The record is from RNAcentral. Lineage: Bacteria; Bacillati; Bacillota; Erysipelotrichia; Erysipelotrichales; Erysipelotrichaceae.
GGAGUCUGGGCCGUGUCUCAGUCCCAAUGUGGCCGUUCACCCUCUCAGGCCGGCUAUGCAUCAUCGCCUUGGUGGGCCGUUACCUCACCAACUAGCUAAUGCACCGUAAGCCCAUCUACUUGUGUUUCAAACCUUUAAUAAUAAGAAGAUGCCUUCUCAUUACCUAUCCGGUAUUAGCGCCCGUUUCCAGGUGUUAUCCCAGUCCGUGUAGGCAGGUUGCUUACGCAUUACUCACCCGUCCGCCACUAAGAUACACAAGAAGAUCCUUCAGCAAGCUGCUCUCACUUCAGCGUGUAUCUCCGUUCGACUUGCAUGUGUUAGGCACGCCGCCAGCG